CCUGCUCAGUGAGUUUACAUGUUAGAGGGAGUGGGGUAUAGUGACAGUAACAGAGGGAUUGAGGGCAUGCUCAGUGAGUUUACAUGUUAGAGGGAGUGGGGUAUAGUGACACAGUAACAGAUGGAUUGAGGGCCCUGCUCAGUGAGCUUACAUGUUAGAGGGAGUGGGGUAUAGUGACAUAGUAACACAGGGAUUGCGGGCCU
Pelobates cultripes (western spadefoot toad) is the source of this 203-nucleotide non-coding RNA. The record is from the annotation of a GenBank genome assembly. Lineage: Eukaryota; Metazoa; Chordata; Amphibia; Anura; Pelobatidae.